Molecule: ribosomal RNA, 627 nt
Filed under: uncultured bacterium
Lineage: Bacteria
Description: bacterial SSU rRNA
Rfam family: Bacterial small subunit ribosomal RNA (bases 1-542)
Source: RNAcentral
CCUACGGGAGGCAGCAGUGGGGAAUUUUGGACAAUGGGCGCAAGCCUGAUCCAGCAAUGCCGCGUGCAGGAUGAAGGCCUUCGGGUUGUAAACUGCUUUUGUACGGAACGAAAAAGUCUGCCCUAAUACGGUGGGCCCAUGACGGUACCGUAAGAAUAAGCACCGGCUAACUACGUGCCAGCAGCCGCGGUAAUACGUAGGGUGCGAGCGUUAAUCGGAAUUACUGGGCGUAAAGCGUGCGCAGGCGGUUAUAUAAGACAGAUGUGAAAUCCCCGGGCUCAACCUGGGACCUGCAUUUGUGACUGUAUAGCUAGAGUACGGUAGAGGGGGAUGGAAUUCCGCGUGUAGCAGUGAAAUGCGUAGAUAUGCGGAGGAACACCGAUGGCGAAGGCAAUCCCCUGGACCUGUACUGACGCUCAUGCACGAAAGCGUGGGGAGCAAACAGGAUUAGAUACCCUGGUAGUCCACGCCCUAAACGAUGUCAACUGGUUGUUGGGUCUUCACUGACUCAGUAACGAAGCUAACGCGUGAAGUUGACCGCCUGGGGAGGACGGCCGCGAGUAGUAACGUACAAGUAGAGUUAGACGGCGUGAGACGUAGACCGACGGACGACGACGAGGGAGGAGG